AUACGGAGGAUCCGAGCGUUAUCCGGAUUUAUUGGGUUUAAAGGGUGCGCAGGCGGGAGAUUAAGUCGGCGGUGAAAUUUUUCAGCUCAACUGUAAAAGUGCCUUCGAAACUGGUUUCCUUGAGUGUAGAUGAAGUAGGCGGGAUUUGUGGUGUAGCGGUGAAAUGCAUAGAUAUCACGAGGAACUCCGAUUGCGCAGGCAGCAUACGAAACUACUAAUGACGCUCAGGCACGAAGGCGUGGGGAUCAAACAGGAUUAGAUACCCUGGUAGUCCACGCAGUAAACGAUGAGUACUAGCUGUUUGCGAUACAAUGUAAGCGGCUGAGCGAAAGCGUUAAGUAAUCCACCUGGGGAGUACGUUCGCAAGAAUGAAACUCAAAGGAAUUGACGGGG
This 393-nucleotide ribosomal RNA is filed under the name uncultured bacterium. Its description in RNAcentral is "partial 16S ribosomal RNA". It matches the Rfam family "Bacterial small subunit ribosomal RNA", at positions 523 to 918 of the family's 1533-position model. The record is from RNAcentral.